Sinocyclocheilus grahami is the source of this 269-nucleotide long non-coding RNA. RefSeq lists it as uncharacterized. The transcript has 2 exons. The record is from RefSeq and is a predicted model, not a curated record. NCBI's taxonomy places the organism in Eukaryota, Metazoa, Chordata, Actinopteri, Cypriniformes, Cyprinidae.
GCAGACGGAUGAUGUGACUUACUCUGAAGUCUCUUCUUCCAGUAAAAAGCCAGUAAAAUCGCUCAAAGAUCAUGAUGAUUCAGUGACUUACGCUGCCAUCAGAUGAACAGAAAAUGAGCCGCUGGGUGAACUUUACGCCUCUGUGAACAAGAACAAGAGCUGCACAAAUAAACAUUCAUAAUCCAGAUCACUGCAUGAGCUCCUCAUAUCAGCAGCAGAUGUGAUGUUUCCACCACUGCUGAGAUUCAUAAUCAAAGUGAUGUAAUGAA